UUUGUUGAUUAGGUUCAGCUAGAACGUUCUUCGAUUCUAAAUUACUGUUAGUGAAAUGGCAUACCCUAUAAAAUAGACGCUAGCUUGUGCCUUAAUAUAGACACAUGUAACAGUGCAAUAAACAUACUCUUUCUUUUUCGACCAGACGAUCCUUUUUCAUUUUCAUCAUCCUCGUCACUGUAAUGACUUUGAUCCCACUCAUCAUAUCCAUUAUCCACAUAACCAGCCCCGUUAUCGUCUACGACAAAGUCAUCCUCAUCCAGUCGUUGUCGAACAAUCUUGCGAUAUUCUUCCUCUGAAACAUUGUCAUAUAAUUCUUCAUUUUCUUUGCUUUCGU
Molecule: non-coding RNA, 337 nt
Organism: Schizosaccharomyces pombe (fission yeast)
Lineage: Eukaryota; Fungi; Ascomycota; Schizosaccharomycetes; Schizosaccharomycetales; Schizosaccharomycetaceae
Source: the annotation of a GenBank genome assembly